Molecule: ribosomal RNA, 468 nt
Filed under: uncultured bacterium
Lineage: Bacteria
Description: partial 16S ribosomal RNA
Rfam family: Bacterial small subunit ribosomal RNA
Source: RNAcentral
GACGAACGCUGGCGGCGUGCUUAACACAUGCAAGUCGAACGGAAAGGCCCUGCUUUUGUGGGGUGCUCGAGUGGCGAAGGGGUGAGUAACAUGAGAGUAACCUGACCUUCACUUUGGUAUAAGUUCAGGAAACUGGGGCUAAUACAGGAUCGGAGAUCCUGCAGCAUGGUGAGGGUUGGAAAGUUUCGGCGGUUGGGGCUGGACUCGCGGCUUACCAGUUUGUUGGUGGGGUAGUGGCUUACCAAGGCUUUGACGGGUAGCCGGCCUGAGAGGGUGACCGGCGACAUUGGGACUGAGAGACGGCCCAGACUCCGACGGGAGGCAACAGUGGGGAAUAUUGCACAAUGGGCGGAAGCCUGAUGCAGCAGCGCCGCGUGCGGGAUGACGGCCUUUGGGGAGUGAACCGCUUUCGCCUGUUACGAAGCUGGAGUGACGGUAAUGGGAAAAGAAGCACCGGCUAACUACGUG